UUCCGUAUCUUGAACAUCCAAGCAUCAACUAAUUCGAAAAUCGUCUGACGCGCGAUACUCAUAGGCUUAUUGUGACGAACUACAGCUAAUUGUAGCAAAUCUUAUUUGGUUGUAUGGGAGUUGUCGAAGCACACAAGACAAGCCUCCGGUGAAUAUCAAUAAGGAGAGACAGCGCUAGGGGUAAUGGCCCCCCCUAACGCCAAUUCAAUAGUCAGGAAAUAUUAGGACUGGCUAGAACUAGAGAACGCGUGAAGGGGGUGCAACUGAAGUUAAUUCAUAAGAGAAUCCUGGAGCACCUCUGUCAUACGCGUCGGGUGGUCAUCGUGGAGUUUUAGUCGAUGGUCCAGAAUGGCGAACUACCGCAAGUAGAGCAACUAAUCGAAAUAAUAGACACGCACAUAUACGUAAUAU
Long non-coding RNA from Bombus huntii, 411 nucleotides. RefSeq lists it as uncharacterized. The record is from RefSeq and is a predicted model, not a curated record. Lineage: Eukaryota; Metazoa; Arthropoda; Insecta; Hymenoptera; Apidae. The transcript is spliced from 3 exons.